RNAcentral lists this ribosomal RNA (210 nucleotides) under uncultured prokaryote. RNAcentral's name for it is "partial 16S ribosomal RNA". It matches the Rfam family "Bacterial small subunit ribosomal RNA", at positions 524 to 733 of the family's 1533-position model. The record is from RNAcentral.
UACGAGAGGUGCAAGCGUUGUUCGGAGUGAUUGGGCGUAAAGCGCACGUAGGCGGGUCCGCAAGUCUGAUGUGAAAGCCCUGGGCUUAACCUGGGAACUGCAUCUGAAACUGCGAAUCUUGAAUAGCUCAGAGGUUGGUGGAAUUCCUGGUGUAGGGGUGAAACCCGUAGAUAUCAGGAGGAACAUCGGAGGCGAAGGCGGCCAACUGGG